RNAcentral lists this ribosomal RNA (468 nucleotides) under uncultured bacterium. Its description in RNAcentral is "partial 16S ribosomal RNA". It matches the Rfam family "Bacterial small subunit ribosomal RNA", at positions 28 to 507 of the family's 1533-position model. The record is from RNAcentral.
GACGAACGCUGGCGGCGUGCUUAACACAUGCAAGUCGAACGGAAAGGCCCUGCUUUUGUGGGGUGCUCGAGUGGCGAACGGGUGAGUAACACGUGAGUAACCUGCCCUUGACUUUGGGAUAACUUCAGGAAACUGGGGCUAAUACCGGAUAGGAGCUCCUGCUGCAUGGUGGGGGUUGGAAAGUUUCGGCGGUUGGGGAUGGACUCGCGGCUUAUCAGCUCGUUGGUGGGGUAGUGGCUUACCAAGGCUUUGACGGGUAGCCGGCCUGAGAGGGUGACCGGCCACAUUGGGACUGAGAUACGGCCCAGACUCCUACGGGAGGCAGCAGUGGGGAGUAUUGCACAGUGGGCGGAAGCCUGAUGCAGCAACGCCGCGUGCGGGAUGACGGCCUUCGGGUUGUAAACCGCUUUCGCCUGUGACGAAGCGUGAGUGACGGUAAUGGGUGAAGAAGCACCGGCUAACUACGUG